ACUGUCAGUAGUUGAGUGACAACUCCUUGCACUAUUAGACGUACAGUCGGAUUAAGAUAAUUAGAAAUGAGAACAUCAACGUAUUCUUGAGUAAGUAAUUCAUUCUUGUCCUCCAAAUAGUAUAGAAAAAAUUUCAAGCCAAUAUGAUUUGUUUUUCCCUAUGCAACCAUAAUUUUGUUUUUUCUGCCAGUCCAUUUGUAGCUAAUAGCUCUUUGAAAUUUUGUAGAUAAAAUCUUUUUAAUUUCAGAAUGAAAUAUGAAUGUUUCCAUUCUCAAGCAAAUCCUUUGUACUUCAAAAUGUUGCACGCUUCAUAAAAUCAUAUAAUUAAUAUAAUUAUAUACAGUGUGUGAGAAAUAUAAGAGAAAAAUAUUAUUGAAUUGUUGUAACUACAUUAUUACAUUGUGGCCCUGGCCCUAUUUAUAGAUAAUACAUUCUAAUCCUUUUCCUAAUAGGACACUACAUUACAAUCCUUUUUCAAAUAGGAAUUUAUAUGCUAUUCCUAUUCGUACUCAUAUUCUAACACUCCUCCUCAAGAUGGUGCAUAGAAGACAUAUGUACUAAGCUUGUUACGGAUGUAACUAAUAUGAGAAUCGAUGAGGGACUUGGUGAAGAUAUCUGCAAGAAAAUUGAUAAGGACUGCUUUGGACGUCUGGGAGACCACAAUUGAAACGGAACAAAUUAAAAAAAAAAUGAUCCGAAAAGUAGUAAAUAUUGCCGUAAAGUCGAUGUGUCGCUGAAAAAUUGCCGAACACUGAUAUAAAAUAUACAGGUCAUCUCGAAAUCAAGAGACGAGUAGAUCUUGAACAUGAAAGUCACCAGAAACUUAGCCGAAACAUGCUCACACGCCGGAUUAUUAGAUUUGAUGGCUGAAAAGCGCCUACAAUCUGAGGGAAAAAAAGGAAUAUGGGUAGGGUCGGAAUGAUGAAACGACCUUACUGAAAAAGAGAAAUAUGUGUAAGGUCGGAAUGAUGGCACGACCCUAUUGAAAAAUAAAAAUUAUAUGAGUAGGGUCGGAAUGACGGCACGAUCCUACUGGAAAAGAGAAAUUAUAUGGGCAGAGUCAGAAUAAUGGCACGACCCUACUAAAAAAGAUCUGAGGAGUCACCGAAAAGACGUACGGAACUAUGUAAAUUAAAUCUGAAGAGUCACCAGAAAGAUGAAUGGUGCUAUGCAACUCAGAUAUGAGACAGUAGUUNNN
RNAcentral lists this long non-coding RNA (1198 nucleotides) under Capsicum annuum. RNAcentral's name for it is "long non-coding RNA (CANN_LNC011094)". Lineage: Eukaryota; Viridiplantae; Streptophyta; Magnoliopsida; Solanales; Solanaceae. The record is from RNAcentral.